UUAAUCGAAACCAAAAUAGAGGUAUGUUACUGUUAAUGAUAAAAAUGAGAAAUUUUCUCCGAUUAAG
This 67-nucleotide transfer RNA is filed under the name Orsodacne lineola. RNAcentral's name for it is "tRNA-Asn". Lineage: Eukaryota; Metazoa; Arthropoda; Insecta; Coleoptera; Orsodacnidae. The record is from RNAcentral.